GGUGUAUGCUGGGGUGUAUGCUGGGCGAAGAACAUUCAGAAAUCUCUUCCGAUGCACAUUACCUGUGAGCAUCAGAGGUGAACUAAUUGCAUACACAUUGCAUACACAGCCCGAGCAAGACAUUAUUCUGCUUUUCUCUGACUAGAUUCCUCCAUUGAGUCAAAAUAAAUUCUGCUUCCAGGAGGACCAAGAGCUGUUGCUAUUGAUAAGGUGUCUGAUUAAUAAUUUUCACCCUGAAUAAAAGUAGAGGGACCUUUUGUCAGAGGUUGCUUGUUAUGAUUCUGUAUCUUUGUUGAAUUCUUGACAUGAUUUGGUACAGUACUUGCAAAUGUACACCUCUUUGAAAUGUCUCCACACAUCAGAUAGUGCCCGUGGCAUGUUCCUGUAAAGAUUAGAAAGAAAUAAGUUUAAAAAAGAAACUAAUACAAUUCCAUGUACAGAUAAAUAGUUAAGUAGUUAGAUUAAACAACUCCUUUGUAAGAUAAAUGUUUUACAAUGAAAUAUGUAUUGAAACAGGUGAAUUAUCACUCUUCAGUUAGCAGACUCAAGCAAGCUAAAACACACAUGGUAGAAAAAACAAACUAUCAGAAAUUGAUAACAAGUUAGAAAUUAUUUAAACACACUUUGCUGUAGACUACUAUUUACUAGUAAACAAAAAAUCAUGAUUGUCAUAUUCACCCCACCCAGUAUUGUAAUCAAAACUUACCAGAAAGCAUGUAGUCCUUGGCUCAAACAGUGUAGUAGUGUGUGCUCAAUAGCAUCUCAUUAGUGUGCAAGAUCUUGAGAAUCAGCUGUACAUGUGAUAGAAGAGUGCACUGCACAUGUGAUGGUAGAAUGCGCUGUGCAUUGAGGGUUGCAAUACCAUUUGAAUUGGGGAUAGUUUAACCAAAAUAUACCUCAAGACCUAGAAUUGCCUUGUGUAUCAUCCCACAAUUUUCUUUUCACUGUUAUAAGCUAACUUUUUGAUGAAUUUUAAGCCUGUGAAUUCUGUGAAGUUUGCUUAACUUCCCAUGGAACAUUUCUGGAAGGUUUCUGACCCUUUGCAUCCCUACAUAUACAAUACAUUGUAGUAGUGCAAGAAAAGAUGUUGACAGAGCUGAACUAUCUCUCCAAGGUCACCAGAGCUGAUGUUGAAGUCCAGCCCUAUGCCUUCACCACCAAGUCCUUGUUCGUCAGCCACAUGGAUUACAAAUACCUUUGUUGGCAGUUUACUUUGUCAUCCUCUUUCAAGAUGGGACUUGCUUAUCAAGGUUUCCUGCUUUGUUCCAUCAGAAAAUCAUUGCUGACCUUACUGUAGAGGGCAUCCCUGUCGUUGAAACCAGCACUUUGACUGAAUAGGGCGUGAUAAUUGUAAAAACAGAGGCCUGUGACAAACUUCUGGCCGAUCGUGUCCAUGGCAAAAUGAAGGGCAAGAAGGUCCAUGAUGUUCUCAACAGAUUGCAUUUAGUAGUACGUGCUAAGACGGAUGAAAAGGUGAGACCACCAUUCAUUCCAGAGGGAACUAGGAUUGGCAGGAAAACAGUAGAGGUGGAUGCACCCAAACGCAAAACAGAGAUGGAGAUGAUUAUAUCCUGGACCUACAGAGUAUGUAUUUGGACAUUGACAUUCAUCAUUGUCUGAUGAAUAAAGAGGAGAAAUAUGAUGUGAUUCCCAAAAUAUGGGAGGGUCACAACUUUUCAGAUUAUAUCGACCCUAAAAUCAUGAAGAUGGCGAAGAAGGCCAAGAAGUUGAUGAAGAGCCAACAAAAGGACAUGAACUGCCAGGGGAAGAAGGGAGAGGCAGACAGACAUGUAUUUGACCUCAUGCCAAAACCUAUUUUUCUCUGGCAAGAGAAUGUCCGGAACAAACGAUCACAGAUAAAGGCAUUGAUCGAUGAGGUUGACCUUUUUUUCAGUGUAAUCCAGCUUCUGUCAGAAUUGUAUACUUUUUCACUGGAGUAAAUCUGAAAAUAAAUGUUUGCCCUUUUCUGAAUUAUCUUUCAUCAUAUUGAGGUAAUGAGUGACACAAGUGACAUUCCUGGUUUUGGAAAGCUGCGUAGUGGAGCACAAACCUCAAUUCACCACAAGGUAUCAGCCAAAAAUGUUAGUGGUAGUUUGACUUCUGUGUCACUUACAUGAACACCCACUGUCAAAGCUUCCAAUUGCUGUGGCUACCAAUUGUGAUAAAUAAUCUUAAAGCGCAUUCAAGUGAAGUGUACUUGAAUUGUAAACUGUAAAUGGAACGUAUUGCCUUAACUCCUAGAAUGUAUCAAUUGCAUUGCUUUGGUGUAGCUAGAAACAAAGAAGAUGAAGCUGCACACACCGUAACAGUUAAGUCCUCUCAACAAAUGUGAGUUUCUUCUACUGUGUACACUGCAGUGGGGGAAGUGAUUAAAUGUAUAAACCAAAAUGUGUCUCGCAGGUGCUUUAUUAAAAAUAAAUGUGAAUAAUUUACUAUCUUAUGCUGCCU
Molecule: long non-coding RNA, 2448 nt
Organism: Oncorhynchus masou masou (cherry salmon)
Lineage: Eukaryota; Metazoa; Chordata; Actinopteri; Salmoniformes; Salmonidae
Exons: 7
Source: RefSeq, a predicted model, not a curated record